GACGAACGCUGGCGGCGUGCUUAACACAUGCAAGUCGAACGGAAAGGCCCUGCUUUUGUUGGGUGCUCGAGUGGCGAACGGGUGAGUAACACGUGAGUAACCUGCCCUUGACUUUGGGAUAACUCCAGGAAACUGGGGCUAAUACCGGAUAGGAGCUCCUGCUGCAUGGUGUGGGUUGGAGAGUUUCGGGGGUUGGGUAUGGACUCGCGGCUUAUCCGCUUGUUGGUGGGGAAGUGGCUUACCAAGGCUUUGACGGGUAGCCGGCCGGAGGGGGUGACCGGCACAUUGGGGACUGGGAACGGGCCAGGACUCCUAGGGGAGCAACAGGGGGGAAUAUUUCACAAAUGGGGGAAAGCCUGAUGCAGCAACGCGGGGUGCGGGAGGACGGCCUUCGGGUGGAAACCCGUUUUCGCAUGUGACGAGGCGUGAGUGACGGUAAUGGGUAAAGAAGCACCGGCUAACUACGUG
This 468-nucleotide ribosomal RNA is filed under the name uncultured bacterium. Its description in RNAcentral is "partial 16S ribosomal RNA". It matches the Rfam family "Bacterial small subunit ribosomal RNA", at positions 28 to 507 of the family's 1533-position model. The record is from RNAcentral.